AACCUAUAUAAUAAAUCCAUUCGAAAUCCACAGGUAACGAUUUUGUUUGUUUGGCAAGCCUUAGACCGGGAAUAAAUAUCGAAAACCAGAGUAUAAAAUUGGAGGAAGCUCAGUUAUAAAAAGAGGGAAAACAAAAGAACGAAAAUGGAGAAAUCUCAGAUAUGGUUAACCUUUGGAACCUUGUCCUUGUUAGUGGCAUCAGCAAUGGCGGCCGAUGUUAUCGUAUUAACCGAAGAAAACUUCCACAAGGAAGUUGGUCAAGACAAAGGCGCUCUCGUCGAGUUCUAUGCUCCUUGGUGUGGACACUGUAAGAAGCUAGCUCCCGAGUAUGAGAAGCUUGGAGAGAGUUUUAAGAAGGCUAAAUCCGUCUUGAUUGGAAAGGUAGACUGUGAUGAGCAUAAGAGUGUUUGCAGCAAGUAUGGUGUUCAAGGCUACCCAACAAUUCAAUGGUUUCCUAAAGGCUCUUUGGAACCUAAAAAGUAUGAAGGACCUCGCACCGCAGAGGCCCUUACUGAGUUUGUGAAUAGGGGAGGGACCAAUGUGAAAAUACCCUCUGGCUCCGUGGCAUCCAAUGUUGUAGUGCUAAAUGCUGAUAAUUUUGAUGCGGUUGUCCUUGACAAGACCAAAGACGUGUUGGUUGAGUUUUAUGCUCCUUGGUGUGGCCAUUGCAAAAGCCUUGCUCCUACCUAUGAAAAGGUAGCGACGGUAUUUAAAAUGGAAGAAGAUAUAAUAAUAGCUGACCUAGAUGUUGAUAAAAACCGCGGUAUAGGUGAAAAGUAUGAAGUGGGUGGACUUCCAACAUUGAAACUCUUUUCAAAGGGAAACAAAGCUGGUGAAGAUUACAAUGGUGACAGAGAUUUGGAUGAUUUAGUUAAUUUCAUCAAUGAAAAGUGUGGCACCAAUCGUGACGCGAAAGGGCAGCUAAAUUCAAAGGCUGGUAUUUUGUCAAGUUUGGAUGCAUCGGUUCAGGAGUUCGUGGCUGCUAGGGGUGACGAGAAGAAAAUAGUCUUUUCUAAGAUCGAAGAGGAAGUUCAGAAGCUUAAGGGUUCCACUUCCAGGUAUGGAAAGAUAUACUUGAAGGCUGCUAAAAGCUGUUUGGAGAAAGGUGCUGAUUAUCCAAAGAAGGAAAUUGAGCGGCUGCAACGCAUUCUUGACCAGUCAAUAAGCCCAGAAAAAGCUGAUGAACUAACUCUCAAGAAGAACAUCCUAUCAACUUUUGCAUGAACUAAUUCACUUGUUGACCGCACCGGUGGGGUUCAAUUUUCGUCCUCGUUUUCUGAGGAUCAGUUUUCCGACCAUUCCCGGGAUUUUGGAUUUCACUCUAUAACCUUUGAGUGGAUGUUUCUGCAGGUACACUCGAGUUCAAUUUAGAAAUUGAGAAGACUGCUCUGCUCAUACCUUAAGGAAGGAAGCGAACCAGUAGAACAAGCAACUUGAAUCUCUUUUCCUUUCGCCAUCUGAGGAAAAAGCUGAUGCUCAAGCAGACUUCCAAACCGAAACUAAGACAGAAAUUGAAGUCGUGGCUAAUAGUCAAACCAUAAGGGAACUUGUUGUCAUUUUGCAUCACUUACCCAAACCGAAGGUACCAUUCAAGUUAAAAUCAGGUUUGAUUCACUUACUCCCGGCAUUCCAUGGCUUGGAAAAUGAAGAUCCACAUAAACACCUUAAGGAAUUUCAUAUUGUUUGUUCAAGCAUGAAACCACAAGCGGUAACUAAGGAACAAAUUAAACUUUUACCUUUUCCAUUUUCCUUGGCUAAUUUGACAAAACAAUGGUUGUUUCAUUUACCAUCAGGCUCAGUUGCCUCUUAGGCAGAUAUGACCCCUUUGUUUCUUAAAAUAUCUUUUUCCAACAUCUAGAGUAGCCGGAAUCUGUAGGUAGAUUUGUGUAAUCAAGUAAAGAGAUUUAGAAUCACUGUACGAUUACUGGAAAAUGUUUAAAAAGUUGUGCACAAGCUAGCUGCAACAGGGUAUUUCUAAGCAAUCCCUUAUCUAGCAUUUCUAUGAAGUCUUACUUCUUAUGAAGAGGAAAAUGGUAGAUAUUGUAAGCGGUGGAGCCUUAGUGAAUAGGACUGCUGAAGCCGCUCACGACCUUGUAUCUACCAUGGUUGUAAAUUCUCAAUAGUUUGGGCUGAUUCUUGAUUUUCUAAGAAGUGUAUACAAGGUAAGUGUAUCCUCCUCGGAAAAUAAAAUUAAUAAUAUUGCUAAUUUUAUUCGA
RNA transcript from Gossypium arboreum, 2216 nucleotides. It is a transcript of the gene named protein disulfide-isomerase like 2-1-like, with no coding region annotated. NCBI's taxonomy places the organism in Eukaryota, Viridiplantae, Streptophyta, Magnoliopsida, Malvales, Malvaceae. The record is from RefSeq and is a predicted model, not a curated record. The transcript is spliced from 12 exons.